GCUGGGCGUGGUGGCACACACCUGUAAUCCCAGCAGCUUGGGAGGCUGAGGCAGAAGGAUCACGAUUUCAAAGCAACUCAGUGAGACCCUGUCUCUA
This 97-nucleotide small RNA is filed under the name Marmota monax (woodchuck). Lineage: Eukaryota; Metazoa; Chordata; Mammalia; Rodentia; Sciuridae. The record is from RNAcentral.